UUAAUCAUCGUUCUCUAAUCGUAAUCUCUCAGAGUGACCGUAGUUUUUACACGGUUUACACAGCUCGUGAACGUUGUACCACGUAUUGUUAAGCUUUGUUUUAUUUCAGUUCACACGCUGAAAAGCUAGGAGGUGUGAAUCCUAUAGUCUCGCGGGUGUCGUAGCGGACAGUUGUGUUUGUUGUCGACGUGUUGGGGAGAUAAACGAUUUCUGCCAAUAAAUCGUCGAAUAAUUGUUCAACAACGCAGUUUUUUGUACCAUCUGGAAUUCACCAAUAGUGUUGGUCUUGUUCUGGAUCUGGUUUGACGCGAUAGACCAUUUCAUAAGUAGAGGCUGUUUCAGAGGAGGUGAACAUAAAAUUUCAAGCUGAGUUCAGUAUACAGAAAUUGAACAGACACAUUUCAAGGUUAUUUCACUAAAAACGGUCGCCAAUUUGUACAUUAAAGACAGUUAAUUACGCUCCAUACUAAAGGAAGAUUCCUAAUUGAAAAGGUCUAAGAAGAUACCAGAAGAAAGAUGUUGCGAUUUUCUCGCUUUUUCCUUGCUAUCUUCGUGCUCAUUGCACUGAUGCAUCUCUCUCAGGGAGAGACCACAACAGAGUUACCCUUCCUCUUGCAGAGAAUGAAGCAAGGCCUUAAAAUAGCAGAUGCCAAAAUACACAACACUGUGAUCGAUUUAACGACACACACGACUACAGAGACGAGUAUUGCGACAAUGGAAGAAGAUGAUUUUGAACUGACUAACAGGCAAUUAAUUGUAGUACCCGACAGAUGCCCGUCCGGCUCUGAUCUCAUACGGGGAAGCUGUCGUACAAGAGUUUAUUGAGAUGAAAAAUGUAAAA
Bombus pascuorum is the source of this 841-nucleotide long non-coding RNA. RefSeq lists it as uncharacterized. The transcript has 4 exons. The record is from RefSeq and is a predicted model, not a curated record. Lineage: Eukaryota; Metazoa; Arthropoda; Insecta; Hymenoptera; Apidae.